UUUAAGUGCGACCAUAAAUUUAACGUUUAAUUUUGAUUGUUCGUUUUAUUUUAAAAGUUUUUAUAAUUAGUAUUUUGGUUGUUAUGAGAUGAUAAAAUAUGAAUAGUACUUUACUCAAGACUUAUGUUUUUUAUUUUUUUAAAAAAAUUAAAUAAAAUGGACGAUUAAAUUUGGGCGCGAAAAAACCAUGCCUGUACUCAAA
RNAcentral lists this microRNA precursor (202 nucleotides) under Oryza nivara. Its description in RNAcentral is "MIR812 microRNA precursor family". It matches the Rfam family "MIR812 microRNA precursor family". Lineage: Eukaryota; Viridiplantae; Streptophyta; Magnoliopsida; Poales; Poaceae. The record is from Rfam by way of RNAcentral.